This 362-nucleotide ribosomal RNA is filed under the name uncultured Methanococcoides sp. RNAcentral's name for it is "bacterial SSU rRNA". It matches the Rfam family "Archaeal small subunit ribosomal RNA", at positions 125 to 479 of the family's 1478-position model. The record is from RNAcentral. Lineage: Archaea; Methanobacteriati; Methanobacteriota; Methanomicrobia; Methanosarcinales; Methanosarcinaceae.
GCCGUAAAAGAUCCUACCUGCGGCGCUCCGCGGGGUGCCCCCCCCGUGUGUUUUGCUGGAAUGCUAAUAGGCCGAAAACUCCGGUGCCUUAGGAUUGGUCUGCGGUCUAUCAGGCUGUAGUGGGUGUAAUGGACCCACUAGCCCGUGACGGAUAUGGGCCUUGAGAGAGGGAGCCCAGAGAUGGACUCUGAGACAUGAAUCCAGGCCCUACGGGGCGCAGCAGUCGCGAAAACUUCGCAAUGGGGGCAACCCCGACGAGGGAAUUCCAAGUGCUAGCACUUUGUGUUAGCUGUUCUUCUGUCUAAAAAACAGGAGGAGUAAGGGGCGGGUAAGACGGGUGCCAGCAGCCGCGGUAAUACGAU